This 274-nucleotide ribosomal RNA is filed under the name uncultured bacterium. Its description in RNAcentral is "partial 16S ribosomal RNA". It matches the Rfam family "Bacterial small subunit ribosomal RNA", at positions 523 to 796 of the family's 1533-position model. The record is from RNAcentral.
AUACAGAGGGUGCAAGCGUUAUUCGGAAUUACUGGGCGUAAAGCGCGCGUAGGCGGAUGAUUAAGUCAGUUGUGAAAGCCCUGGGCUCAACCUAGGAACUGCAUCUGAUACUGGUCAUCUAGAGUUUAAGAGAGGGAAGUGGAAUUCCAGGUGUAGCAGUGAAAUGCGUAGAUAUCUGGAGGAACAUCAGUGGCGAAGGCGACUUCCUGGCUUAGAACUGACGCUUAGGUGCGAAAGCGUGGGUAGCGAACGGGAUUAGAAACCCUAGUAGUCC